CGACGUGAGUGCUGCUCGGCUCCUCCCCCACUGAAUCUAGUCAGGAAGAAACUGCAGUGACGUCGCAGCGUCACAAAAAGAGAAGAACUACUUGAGACGCAAGCGUCCUGAAUAUUUGAAUUUAUUAACUGUUUAUAUUGGGGAGUAUUUGUAAAUAUCAACGUUUUAUUAUUAAGUUGUCAUCAAAAGUGUACAUACAUUGGGCUAUGUAAACUUUUGACGGUAACGUUUUUGCUUUGUUAAACAGGUGCAGACGCCAGUGGUCAUAUCGGUGGUGAGUAUAUCGCCCGUGAUGCUGUAAAAGCCAAUGCAUCGCCUCUUGUGGCCCCCCAGCCAAAUUCCGCAACUCAGUGCAGCUGGGAUUCAAACGAGGAAGCCUCCAAUUGCAUUACUCACCCCGCAGUUUAAGUGACAGUGUCUUUAAUAGAUCAGUUUUACGGCUCAAUACUUGGAGCCUGAAGACAGUCAGUUGAUCCAGCUGUGCUUUAUUGGAUUUAGAAUCGGACUGGGCUAUGGACCACCAACCC
Long non-coding RNA from Acipenser ruthenus (sterlet), 527 nucleotides. RefSeq lists it as uncharacterized. The record is from RefSeq and is a predicted model, not a curated record. The transcript is spliced from 3 exons. NCBI's taxonomy places the organism in Eukaryota, Metazoa, Chordata, Actinopteri, Acipenseriformes, Acipenseridae.